RNAcentral lists this small nuclear RNA (113 nucleotides) under Suricata suricatta (meerkat). The record is from RNAcentral. Lineage: Eukaryota; Metazoa; Chordata; Mammalia; Carnivora; Herpestidae.
AUCUUUUACACUGCAACACAUACACUAAAAUUGGAACAAUACAGAGAUUAUUAGCAGGGCUGCUAUGUAAGGAUGACAUGAAAAUUCAUGAAGAUUCUAGGUAUAAAGUAUAU